This 320-nucleotide long non-coding RNA is filed under the name Ananas comosus (pineapple). Its description in RNAcentral is "long non-coding RNA (ACOM_LNC019690)". The record is from RNAcentral. Lineage: Eukaryota; Viridiplantae; Streptophyta; Magnoliopsida; Poales; Bromeliaceae.
CCUGUCACACCCCAAUAAUCCCACAUCGGAUAGGAAAGGGGAUGUGAUUGGGUAUAUAAGAGACUUAGACACUAGUAAUAACAACUGGGCUUAAGCAUUUGGGUUGAUGGUUGGGCUUAAUGAGUUAUUAUUGCUAGUGGGCUGGGUCGUUACAUUUGGUAUCAGAGCCAGUUCACCAGCCGAAAAUGUGUGGCGAGUCUCGGCUGAGCUAGGGUUUGAAAGACAAGGUGAUAGCCUAUGUCGAAGUCUGUAUGACAAGGUGACAGGCUAUGCCAGGGUCUGGAUGACAAGGCUAGCGAGACGAGUCUCACAUCGCUGGU